This 216-nucleotide ribosomal RNA is filed under the name Glomeromycotina sp. Its description in RNAcentral is "partial small subunit ribosomal RNA". The stretch from base 47 to 216 matches the Rfam family "Eukaryotic small subunit ribosomal RNA", at positions 693 to 864 of the family's 1831-position model. Lineage: Eukaryota; Fungi; Glomeromycota. The record is from RNAcentral.
GGGUCAGUAGGUUGGUCGUGCCACCGGUACGUACUGGUCUCACUGGUUCCUCCUUCCUGAAGAACCGUAAUGCCAUUAAUUUGGUGUUGCGGGGAAACAGGACUGUUACUUUGAAAAAAUUAGAGUGUUUGAAGCAAGCUAACGCUUGAAUACAUUAGCAUGGAAUAAUGAAAUAGGACGAUCGAUCCUAUUUUGUUGGUUUCUAGGAUUGACGUA